RNAcentral lists this ribosomal RNA (433 nucleotides) under uncultured bacterium. RNAcentral's name for it is "partial 16S ribosomal RNA". It matches the Rfam family "Bacterial small subunit ribosomal RNA", at positions 29 to 507 of the family's 1533-position model. The record is from RNAcentral.
AACGAACGCUGGCGGCAUGCCUAACACAUGCAAGUCGAACGAGACCUUCGGGUCUAGUGGCGCACGGGUGCGUAACGCGUGGGAACCUGCCCUUAGGUUCGGAAUAACUCCCCGAAAGGGGUGCUAAUACCGGAUAAUGUCUUCGGACCAAAGAUUUAUCGCCUUUGGAUGGGCCCGCGUUGGAUUAGCUAGUUGGUAGGGUAAAAGCCUACCAAGGCGACGAUCCAUAGCUGGUCUGAGAGGAUGAUCAGCCACACUGGGACUGAGACACGGCCCAGACUACGACGGGAGGCAGCAGUGCGGAAUAGUGGAAGAUGGGCGAAAGCGUGAACAAGCAAGGCCGCGGGAGUGAUGAAGGCAUGAGGGGGGGAAAGAGCUGUGACCAGGGACGAGAAUGAAAGUAACGGGAGAAGAAGAGCCGGCUAACCCGGUG